CAUCUUCACCAUUUCUUUGUUUCCGCCGUUUGAAGAGAAAUAAUAAUAGGAAGUCAUGGUUAAACCUUUCCAACCUUUCCAUCCAUGCAAAUUGUGAAUGUUCGGAGCGUGUCGAUUGGAUCAGCCAGAAGCACACACCUACCGUCUCUCAAAUUCGGUAGUCUUUUGAAUGAUUCAAUCUUGGUUAUUUGUGGCAUGUACAUAAGUUGAUCAAACACAUGUAAAGGCACUUAUAUAUGUUUUGGUUUGGAUGGUCCUUGCAAAUAAGUACAUAUUCUAUAUGGUAACUUGUUGGAAUGAUGUUUUAGUUAAUGUAGAGUUUGAUAUUUAAACU
This is a long non-coding RNA of Gossypium raimondii (Peruvian cotton), 334 nucleotides long. RefSeq lists it as uncharacterized. The transcript is spliced from 2 exons. The record is from RefSeq and is a predicted model, not a curated record. NCBI's taxonomy places the organism in Eukaryota, Viridiplantae, Streptophyta, Magnoliopsida, Malvales, Malvaceae.